This 73-nucleotide transfer RNA is filed under the name Stegodyphus mimosarum. It matches the Rfam family "tRNA". Rfam says of the family: Transfer RNA (tRNA) molecules are approximately 80 nucleotides in length. Their secondary structure includes four short double-helical elements and three loops (D, anti-codon, and T loops). The record is from Rfam by way of RNAcentral. Lineage: Eukaryota; Metazoa; Arthropoda; Arachnida; Araneae; Eresidae.
GCCUUCAUGGUGUAGUGGUCAGAACUCUCGAAGGGUAAUCGAGAGAUCCGUGGUUCGAUUCCCGGUGAAGCCA